GACGUAGGGCGCGAGCGUUGUCCGGAUUUAUUGGGCGUAAAGAGCUCGUAGGCGGUUUGUCGCGUCGUCCGUGAAAACUCACAGCUUAACUGUGAGCUUGCGGUCGAUACGGGCAGGCUAGAGUUCGGUAGGGGAGACUGGAAUUCCUGGUGUAGCGGUGAAAUGCGCAGAUAUCAGGAGGAACACCGGUGGCGAAGGCGGGUCUCUGGGCCGAUACUGACGCUGAGGAGCGAAAGCGUGGGGAGCAAACAGG
This 253-nucleotide ribosomal RNA is filed under the name uncultured bacterium. RNAcentral describes it as "partial 16S ribosomal RNA". It matches the Rfam family "Bacterial small subunit ribosomal RNA", at positions 524 to 776 of the family's 1533-position model. The record is from RNAcentral.